GAAAUUUAAUUAAUUAAGCCGCUAACUUAAUUCACAGUGUCUAUACAUUGAAAUUUCU
RNAcentral lists this transfer RNA (58 nucleotides) under Nothopsyche ruficollis. RNAcentral's name for it is "tRNA-Ser". The record is from RNAcentral. Lineage: Eukaryota; Metazoa; Arthropoda; Insecta; Trichoptera; Limnephilidae.